Molecule: non-coding RNA, 132 nt
Filed under: Phascolarctos cinereus (koala)
Lineage: Eukaryota; Metazoa; Chordata; Mammalia; Diprotodontia; Phascolarctidae
Source: RNAcentral
GUGCUAAUCCUCCUGAGAGAAGGUAGCAUUCCCUUUGAUAAGGGUGGAAGAGGUCCUAGUGGCUUUUACAACACAUACAUGCUCAAGGCACUGCCACCUACUCUGUGGCAUCUAACCCAUGCAAGUCUAAUU